GACGAACGCUGGCGGCAUGCCUAACACAUGCAAGUCGAACGGGAUCCUAGCUUGCUAGGUGAGAGUGGCGGACGGGUGAGUAACACGUGGGAAUCUGCCUUUUGGUUCGGGAUAACCGCGGGAAACUGCGGCUAAUACCGAAUGCCCUCGUGAGAGGAAAGAUUUAUCGCCAGAAGAGGAGCCCGCGUCCGAUUAGGUAGUUGGUGGGGUAAAGGCCUACCAAGCCGACGAUCGGUAGCUGGUCUGAGAGGAUGAUCAGCCACACUGGGACUGAGAUACGGCCCAGACUCCUACGGGAGGCAGCAGUGGGGAAUAUUGGACAAUGGGGGCAACCCUGAUCCAGCAAUGCCGCGUGAGUGAUGAAGGCCUUAGGGUUGUAAAGCUCUUUUGCCAGGGAAGAUGAUGACUGUACCUGGAGAAUAAGCCCCGGCUAACUUCGUGCCAGCAGCCGCAAU
Molecule: ribosomal RNA, 455 nt
Filed under: uncultured bacterium
Lineage: Bacteria
Description: bacterial SSU rRNA
Rfam family: Bacterial small subunit ribosomal RNA
Source: RNAcentral